RNAcentral lists this ribosomal RNA (197 nucleotides) under uncultured bacterium. Its description in RNAcentral is "partial 16S ribosomal RNA". It matches the Rfam family "Bacterial small subunit ribosomal RNA", at positions 328 to 539 of the family's 1533-position model. The record is from RNAcentral.
ACGCUCGACACCUACAGGAGGCAGCAGUGGGGAAUAUUGCACAAUGGGGGAAACCCUGAUGCAGCAACGCCGCGUGAAGGAAGACGGUUUUCGGAUUGUAAACUUCUGUUCUUAGUGAAGAUAGUGACGGUAGCUAAGGAGCAAGCCACGGCUAACUACGUGCAGCAGCCGCGGUAAUCUGAGCGGGCUGGCAAGGC